ACAUGGAGGCGGUCGGCGUGCUGGACACUGUGCUACCUGUCUCACGGUGACUGUGCCCAGCACAGGGCAGCAUUGUACUGUAUUAUUGGCAUAUUUGGCUCGGAAACGCAGACGCCAAACCACUCCUUCAAAUGUUGAACAUUGUGCUGAUGUUGCAGAAGGUCCAUCCCGCCAUCAUCCGACUGCGCAAAUGCGCACAGGCCACAGAUCCACAACGCGUCAACACGUGGCACAGAAAAGACCAUGACAGGAUCUGCCCAGAGCACAAUCUGCCUCUCCACCAACGCAACGCAUCAGUACGGUCGCAUCAAGGCCGCCGUCUGAUUUCCUUGCGUCCUCCCCACCACUUCAACUGCAGUCCCCUCAAAUUCCAGAUCAAGGCAACAUGCCCCCUGCACACCAGUCAGAUGAAAUGGAGGAAACUUAUGUCCUUAACCUGCAGCCGGUAGACCCGACAACACCAAGCUCGCCACCUAUGGCUGGUCCUCCGCCUCCAACCACUCCACCACCACAAUUGAGCACAGCCACACCACCGCCACAAAACACAUUCCAGGCCUUUUGUGACAGCUGGACAACCCAGCAACCACAACAUAUGGAGUGUCUUCGCAGACAGACCCAGCUGCUGUCAAGUCUUCCCCAUUAUCUCCCCAGAUUAAGUCGCACUAUGUGCAGACAAAAUUCUGAACUCAGCAGAAUUGCCACAUGCAUGGAACAAAUGCGGGCUGAUACCAGUAACAUGAUGCUCACCAUGGCCAGGAUUAUGGACGACCAAAUGAGGCAACAUCAGAACUACCUCAAUCUCCUUGAUUCAAACAAUCGACUAUGUGAAAGUCUAGCCAGAAUAAUAGAAAAUAGCACGUCAUCAAACAUCCAACUGAAUGCAACAUUAAGCAACCUCAGCCACAAUAUUGUCAACCUACGCAAUCAACAAGCGAGCACAAGCUCUGAAACCACAAGACCGUUAACUACGCCUAUUUCAUCCCCAGUUAGAAGAUCAAGAAGAAGAGCUAAUGUCCCUGGCCCCGACUCUGCCGGAUCUAAGGGCCACACCAAAAAAAAUUUUUAAGCAGCAACAGGUGUUGGGUUGUUAGGGGGGUAAAGAUUAUCUGUGUUUCUAUUUUAUAUUUUUGAUUAUUUUCUAAACAAAAAAUAAACACAUUUGU
Pseudophryne corroboree (corroboree frog) is the source of this 1163-nucleotide long non-coding RNA. RefSeq lists it as uncharacterized. The record is from RefSeq and is a predicted model, not a curated record. The transcript is spliced from 4 exons. NCBI's taxonomy places the organism in Eukaryota, Metazoa, Chordata, Amphibia, Anura, Myobatrachidae.